Molecule: non-coding RNA, 914 nt
Organism: Xyrichtys novacula (pearly razorfish)
Lineage: Eukaryota; Metazoa; Chordata; Actinopteri; Labriformes; Labridae
Source: the annotation of a GenBank genome assembly
CCCAUAAGUAAAGGGUCAUUUCAUAUCACAAUGCAAUCAUGUUUCAUUGUGAAAAUGAAACUGCUCCCUGUGGUAAAUUUGAUUUAAGAAGUUAUUUUAAAGUCCAUGAAGAAAAGUGGUGGUUCUGGGAUUAUUACAGUAAAAAACGUUGUUUCCUCAGAUUGAGGAUUUACCGUGAGGGGGUGAGAAAUGUUAACUUAAAUACAUCCAGGGAGUUAUACUUUCACACGCUCACAAGUAGUGUCAAUAAUGACAGUGUGAAACCUAAACAGAAUGAACCAAAUGUAAACAAUGUCACAAAAACACUGACCUUGGUUCGAACUCCAGGUGUGAAAACACCCGAAGUUGCAGAUAUUUAAUUUGUCUCUUAUUGCAGACUUCCAUUGAGGUCAGCAAUGUGCAGUUUUGUUGCAGAUGUGUAGCUCUUGACUUUGAUUUUUAUCUUAUUUUUUGUUAUCUAUUAGUGCUUCAGUCAGAGUGUUAAAUUACGAGGUAGAACUGACCUCAUCUGAGCCUCUGUGCUCAUUCUCUUCAAAAUAAAAGCCCGUGAAUAAAAGGUCAUUUCAUAUCACAAUGCAAUCAUGUUUCAUUGUGAAUAUGAAAAUGCUCCCUGUGGUAAAUUUGAUUUAAGAAGUUAUUUCAAAGUCCAUGAAGAAAGGCGGUGGUUCUGGGAUUAUUACAGUAAAAAAAAGGUUGUUUCCUCAGAUUGCGGAUUUGCCAUGAGGGGUGAGAAAUGUUUACUGCAAAUACAUCCGGGAAGUUAUCCUUUCACACCCUCACAAGUGCAGAUUCCUGCUGCAGUGAUAGAAUUUCUGGAUUUGUGAAAUCCCUUUAUAGGAGACAUAUUGCUGCUGUGUCAGUGCUGUAUUAUUACAGCUUACUCCUGUAAGCCGCAUUUUCCACAGAGGUUAACA